AGGCUGUGGGAGCUAGCUACGUUAGCUCGUUAGUAGCCUAGCUCAUGAGACAAAAGUACAAACACUUUGAACACUGUUGGUUUGUUUAGCUCGCUGGCAAACAGCCCAGCAGCUCACAGAACCAUAAACAGAACCGAGCUCAUUGUUUACUAUCCGAAGCUUCGUUAGCACAGCAGCUAACUGCUAGCCUCCAUGUAAACACAGCUAACACGCAGCUAACAGCUAACAGCUAACAGCUAACACGGCGGGUUUACUUACAGCAGAGCGAACUUUAAAAUGGCGCCUUCCGCCUCCGGAACCUUCUGAUCAAACCACGGACUGUAUGAAAUGAGGAUUAAACGUGUGGGUUAAAGUGAAAAGGUGACGGAGUGGCCGCCCCGAUCCAGCAGGAGCAGCUGCUGCACCCCGGCUGUGACAGCCAAUGGGAGCGGCGGAGAGAGGCUACGUCACUUUAUUUGUUGGGCAUGCGCACUUUCCCUCUGCGUUUGUCAAUCAGAUUCAGAAUCAGAAAGUAGUUUAGAGGAUUUUACCUUUUUUAUAUCCAGUCUAUGGAUUUUACACAUAAACGUAAACAGGAGUCCAGAGGGGGCAGCAGCGCGACACUGAGGCUGCUGCCGCCGAGAAGAAGAAGAAGAAGAAGAAGAAGAAGAAGAAGAAGAAGAAGACGAACCGUCGGGCGGGCGGGCUCAGUUGUUGUUGUUAUUAUUGUUGUUCUCGUUCCACAGAGGUUUAGAAAGACUUCAGAAACGAUGCAUCAGUUGGAUCCGUCUCUGUCCUCAGUGACUCCAGCUGCCAGCCUGUUGGCCAGAUGUGUCUCCAGAGGUGCCAUGUCUCAGGUGUGUUCUAACAACAAUGCUAGAGACACUCACCUGCUGAAGCCUGACCCGGUUUAAACACCUGGAUCCAUCUGCACACAGGAAACUGUGUUGGUCACUUGUAUCUAACAAAACAUAAAACCCAAAACCCAGAACAGGGUCCAGGUGUGUCGGCACAUAGAGACGUGAGGUCAGAACAGGGUCCAGGUGUGUCGGCACAUAGAGACGUGAGGUCAGAACAGGGUCCAGGUGUGUCGGCACAUAGAGACGUGAGGUCAGAACAGGGUCCAGGUGUGUCGGCACAUAGAGACGUGAGGUCAGAACAGGGUCCAGGUGUGUCGGCACAUAGAGACGUGAGGUCAGAACAGGGUCCAGGUGUGUCGGCACAUAGAGACGUGAGGUCAGAACAGGGUCCAGGUGUGUCGGCACAUAGAGACGUGAGGUCAGAACAGGGUCCAGGU
Micropterus dolomieu (smallmouth bass) is the source of this 1276-nucleotide long non-coding RNA. RefSeq lists it as uncharacterized. The transcript has 3 exons. The record is from RefSeq and is a predicted model, not a curated record. NCBI's taxonomy places the organism in Eukaryota, Metazoa, Chordata, Actinopteri, Centrarchiformes, Centrarchidae.